CUGAUUGCAUUAAAUUUUUAAUGUAGUUACUACUUGGUAGUUUAAAUUUCUAGGUAGAAUUAUGAUGAUGACAUUAUCUAUCUAUAAGUCUUGACCAAAUUACGUGCCAGCAGUCGCGGUAAUACGUAAAAGACGAGUGUUAUUCAUCUUUAUUGGGUUUAAAGAGUACCAAGACGGUUAAUAAAGCCCAGAAAUACAUGAGCAAAGGGGACACAUUAACUAGAGUUAUAUGAAAGGAAGCAUUAAAGUACUGUUGAGUGUAGAGAUAAAAUUCAGUAAUACCAUCUAAGGCACAGAUUUAUGCGAAGGCAUCUUCUUAUGUAAUAACUGACGUUGUAGGACGAAGGCUUUUGGAGUGAAGAGGAUUAGAUACCCUUGUAAUCUAAGCAGAAAAUGAUGAAUGUCAUAGGUUUAGUAUAUACACCAAAAAAAAAAAUGGUCAAUAUAUUAUUGGGUCUAUAAAUGAAAGUGUAAGCAUUCCACCUCAAGAGUAAUUUGGCAACAUUGGAACUGAAAAUCAUUAGACCGUUUCUGAAACCAGUAGUGAAGUAUGUUGUUUAAUUAGAUGAUACACAAAAGAACCUUACCACAAAUUUGAAUAUAUAUCAUUAAUGAUAUUUACAAGCGUUGCACGGCUGUCUACAGUUAAUGUCGUGAGGCUUUGGUUAGUUCCAAAAAAAUUAACGUAAACCCUCAUUUUAUUUAUAAAUAAAAUUUACAAUCUGUUUC
This 729-nucleotide ribosomal RNA is filed under the name Lobaria retigera. RNAcentral describes it as "SSU rRNA". It matches the Rfam family "Bacterial small subunit ribosomal RNA", at positions 400 to 1144 of the family's 1533-position model. The record is from RNAcentral. Lineage: Eukaryota; Fungi; Ascomycota; Lecanoromycetes; Peltigerales; Lobariaceae.